This 530-nucleotide ribosomal RNA is filed under the name Duplachionaspis spartinae. Its description in RNAcentral is "eukaryotic LSU rRNA". The record is from RNAcentral. Lineage: Eukaryota; Metazoa; Arthropoda; Insecta; Hemiptera; Diaspididae.
AUCUGGGCGGCGGAAUUCAGGACGGCUGGGGGGUUUUCCGCUCUUUCGGCCGUUUGAUAUUUCCGUCGCCGUGUCAGACGUCGCGACCUGUUUGUCGUCGGUCCUUGCUCGGAGGAAUUGCGAUCGAGUUCGUUGCGGGCGCGCUUCGGUGUGUCCCGCGGCGAAGACGCGACUCUCUGGCUGACGACGGACAGUAAGCAACGGUGGCCGGCGCCGUGUCUCGCACUCGGCGUCGGUACCGGUCAGCGACGAUUUCUUCGGGCCUCUUUCCGACCCGUCUUGAAACACGGACCAAGGAGUCUAACAUGCGCGCGAGUCGCGGGGUUUCGAGCGUGCCACGGUGCGCUCGUUACUUCCGAAACCCGUACGUUGAAGGCGUAAUGAAAGUGAACAGGGAAGAUGGCGUUCCGAGUCCACGUACCGUGAUCGAGUAUCGCGGCCGGACGCCCGCACUCCCGGGGCGUCUCAAUGGCUCGCCACGGAUGCGGACGAUCGUCUUUCGGGGCGGUCGUCGGUCUGUGGCGGUCCGA